This 372-nucleotide ribosomal RNA is filed under the name Camponotus grandidieri. Its description in RNAcentral is "partial 12S ribosomal RNA". The record is from RNAcentral. Lineage: Eukaryota; Metazoa; Arthropoda; Insecta; Hymenoptera; Formicidae.
UUUUAAACUAGGGAAUAGAUACCCUAUUAUUUUUAUUAAAAUUUAUGUUUACUAAUAAUUAUUAAUUAAAUGUAAAUCAUUAAAAAUAAAAAAUUUGGCGGUAUUUAUUAUUUAGAGGAACUUGUUUAUUAAAUUGAUAAUCCACGAGUAGAAGAACUUAAUUUUUUUUUAUGUAUUGUUGUUGUAAAAUUAUAUUAAUAGAUAAUAAUUAAUAAAUUUAAUUAUAAAUUAUAAUUCAAAUCAAAAUGUAGAAUAGUUAAGAGUUUAAUGAGUUACGAAUUAAUUUAAUAAUUGAAAUUUAAAGAAUUUAAUUUUAUAGAUAAGAAUUGGAUUUAAAAAGUAAAAUUUAUAUAAAAUAUAUAAAAUUAAAUU